This 230-nucleotide ribosomal RNA is filed under the name uncultured bacterium. Its description in RNAcentral is "partial 16S ribosomal RNA". It matches the Rfam family "Bacterial small subunit ribosomal RNA", at positions 562 to 791 of the family's 1533-position model. The record is from RNAcentral.
AAAGCGUGCGCAGGCGGUUAUGUAAUACAGAUGUGAAAUCCCCGGGCUCAACCUGGGAACUGCAUUAGUGACUGCAUAGCUGGAGUACGGCAGAGGGGGAUGGAAUUCCGCGUGUAGCAGUGAAAUGCGUAGAUAUGCGGAGGAACACCGAUGGCGAAGGCAAUCCCCUGGGCCUGUACUGACGCUCAUGCACGAAAGCGUGGGGAGCAAACAGGAUUAGAUACCCUAGU